RNAcentral lists this ribosomal RNA (904 nucleotides) under Spegazzinia lobulata. RNAcentral describes it as "LSU rRNA". It matches the Rfam family "Eukaryotic large subunit ribosomal RNA", at positions 38 to 960 of the family's 3401-position model. Lineage: Eukaryota; Fungi; Ascomycota; Dothideomycetes; Pleosporales; Didymosphaeriaceae. The record is from RNAcentral.
GCAUAUCAAUAAGCGGAGGAAAAGAAACCAACAGGGAUUGCCCUAGUAACGGCGAGUGAAGCGGCAACAGCUCAAAUUUGAAAUCUGGCCUCCUUUGGGGGUCCGAGUUGUAAUUUGCAGAGGGUGCUUUGGCGUUGGCGGCGGUCUAAGUUCCUUGGAACAGGACAUCGCAGAGGGUGAGAAUCCCGUACGUGGGCGCCUGCCAUCGCCGUGUAAAGCCCCUUCGACGAGUCGAGUUGUUUGGGAAUGCAGCUCUAAAUGGGAGGUAAAUUUCUUCUAAAGCUAAAUACCGGCCAGAGACCGAUAGCGCACAAGUAGAGUGAUCGAAAGAUGAAAAGUACUUUGGAAAGAGAGUAAAAUAGCACGUGAAAUUGUUGUAGAGGAAGCGCUUGCAGCCAGACUUCCCCGUAGUCGCUCACCCGGGCUCCUGCCCGGGGUACUCUUCUGCGGGGAGGCCAGCAUCAGUUUGGGCGGUCGGAUAAAGGCCUCUGUCACGUAUCUCCCUUCGGGGUGACCUUACAGGGGAGGCGUAAUGCGACCAGCCCGGACUGAGGUCCGCGCAUCUGCUAGGAUGCUGGCGUAAUGGCUGUAAGCGGCCCGUCUUGAAACACGGACCAAGGAGUCUAACAUCUAUGCGAGUGUUUGGGUGUCAAGCCCGGGCGCGCAAUGAAAGUGAACGGAGGUGGGAACCUUCGGGUGCACCAUCGACCGAUCCUGAAGUCUUCGGAUGGAUUUGAGUAAGAGCAUAGCUGUUGGGACCCGAAAGAUGGUGAACUAUGCUUGAAUAGGGUGAAGCCAGAGGAAACUCUGGUGGAGGCUCGCAGCGGUUCUGACGUGCAAAUCGAUCGUCAAAUUUGGGCAUAGGGGCGAAAGACUAAUCGAACUAUCUAGUAGCUGGUUCCUG